This 641-nucleotide ribosomal RNA is filed under the name uncultured bacterium. RNAcentral's name for it is "bacterial SSU rRNA". It matches the Rfam family "Bacterial small subunit ribosomal RNA", at positions 8 to 624 of the family's 1533-position model. The record is from RNAcentral.
AGAGUUUGAUCCUGGCUCAGAAUGAACGCUGGCGGCGUGCUUAACACAUGCAAGUCGUACGAGAAAAGUUCCUUCGGGGGCUUAGUAAAGUGGCGAACGGGUGAGUAACGCGUGGGUAACCUGCCCUUGAGUGUGGGAUAACUCCGGGAAACUGGGGCUAAUACCGCAUGAUAUCUUGAGAGCUCUGGCUCUUGAGAUCAAAGGUGGCGCGGUUCGACCGCUACCGCUCAUGGAGGGACCCGCGUCCCAUUAGCUUGUUGGUGGGGUAACGGCCUACCAAGGCUUCGAUGGGUAGCCGGCCUGAGAGGGUGUCCGGCCACACUGGAACUGAGACACGGUCCAGACUCCUACGGGAGGCAGCAGUGGGGAAUAUUGGGCAAUGGGCGCAAGCCUGACCCAGCGACGCCGCGUGGGUGAUGAAGGCCCUUGGGUCGUAAAACCCUGUCAUGUGGGACGAAAGACCUGGGCUCUAACAUAGCCCGGGUUUGACGGUACCACAGGAGGAAGCCCCGGCUAACUCCGUGCCAGCAGCCGCGGUAAUACGGAGGGGGCGAGCGUUAUUCGGAAUUAUUGGGCGUAAAGGGCAGGUAGGCGGCUUUGCGUGUCCUCUGUGAAAGCCCUCGGCUCAACCGAGGAAUUGC